This 468-nucleotide ribosomal RNA is filed under the name uncultured bacterium. Its description in RNAcentral is "partial 16S ribosomal RNA". It matches the Rfam family "Bacterial small subunit ribosomal RNA", at positions 28 to 507 of the family's 1533-position model. The record is from RNAcentral.
GACGAACGCUGGCGGCGUGCUUAACACAUGCAAGUCGAACGGAAAGGCCCUGCUUUUGUGGGGUGCUCGAGUGGCGAACGGGUGAGUAACACGUGAGUAACCUGCCCUUGACUUUGGGAUAACUUCAGGAAACUGGGGCUAAUACCGGAUAGGAGCUCCUGCUGCAUGGUGGGGGUUGGAAAGUUUCGGCGGUUGGGGAUGGACUCGCGGCUUAUCAGCUUGUUGGUGGGGUAGUGGCUUACCAAGGCUUUGACGGGUAGCCGGCCUGAGAGGGUGAACGGCCACAAUGGGACUGAGAGACGGACCAGACGCCUACGGGAGGCAGCAGGGGGGAACAUUGCACAAUGGGCGGAAGCCUGAUGCAGCAACGCCGGGUGCGGGAUGACGGCCUUCGGGUUGUAAACCGAUGUCGCCUGUGACGAAGCGUGAGUGACGGUAAUGGGUAAAGAAGCACCGGCUAACUACGUG